This 340-nucleotide ribosomal RNA is filed under the name uncultured bacterium. RNAcentral describes it as "partial 16S ribosomal RNA". It matches the Rfam family "Bacterial small subunit ribosomal RNA", at positions 338 to 675 of the family's 1533-position model. The record is from RNAcentral.
CCUACGGGUGGCAGCAGUGAGGAAUAUUGGUCAAUGGGCGGAAGCCUGAACCAGCCAAGUCGCGUGAGGGAAUAAGGCCCUACGGGUCGUAAACCUCUUUUGCCGGGGAGCAAGGGCGGGGACGUGUCCCGGCCCGUAGAGUACCCGGAGAAAAAGCAUCGGCUAACUCCGUGCCAGCAGCCGCGGUAAUACGGAGGAUGCGAGCGUUAUCGUGUUUUAUUGGGUUAAGGGGGUGCGUAGGCGAGCUUUUAAGUCAGCGGUAAAAAUUCGGGGCUAACGACGGUCCGGCCGUUGAAACUGGGGGCCUUGAGUGGGCGAGAAGAAGGCGGAAUGCGUGGUG